GACCAGACUCCUACGGGAGGCAGCAGUGGGGAAUAUUGCACAAUGGGGGAAACCCUGAUGCAGCGACGCCGCGUGAGUGAAGAAGUAUUUCGGUAUGUAAAGCUCUAUCAGCAGGGAAGAAAAUGACGGUACCUGACUAAGAAGCCCCGGCUAACUACGUGCCAGCAGCCGCGGUAAUACGUAGGGGGCAAGCGUUAUCCGGAUUUACUGGGUGUAAAGGGAGCGUAGACGGCAUGGCAAGUCAGAUGUGAAAGCCCGGGGCUCAACCCCGGGACUGCAUUUGAAACUGUCAGGCUGGAGUGCAGGAGAGGUAAGUGGAAUUCCUAGUGUAGCGGUGAAAUGCGUAGGUAUUAGGAGGAACACCAGUGGCGAAGGCGGCUUACUGGACUGUAACUGACGUUGAGGCUCGAAAGCGUGGGGAGCAAACAGGAUUAGAUACCCCUGUAA
RNAcentral lists this ribosomal RNA (447 nucleotides) under uncultured bacterium. RNAcentral describes it as "bacterial SSU rRNA". It matches the Rfam family "Bacterial small subunit ribosomal RNA", at positions 329 to 793 of the family's 1533-position model. The record is from RNAcentral.